CCCUUUCCCUUUUCUCGAUUAGAACGAUUGGAGCAGCCGUAAACUACACAAAACAUUGGCAUUUUGCCAGACGGCAGAUCCUCAGCUAUUUAACUUCCUGCCCUCCAUCUGAAUUGCGCGCUCUCGCGAUGCAGCAGCGUGACGUCACGUGAAACCAACCUAUGAACGCUAUCUAUCGAUCUGCGCUCGAUUGCUCUUCCUUCAUCCUCCAAAUACCCGGAUGUCUGUCUCAGUAACUUGAAAUUGAAUUUGAGAACUGAAUCUGAAUUGUGAGAAGUGAAUGUGAAGAUAUAUAGAGAGUUUAAUUUUCAGUGAGGAUCAAAUUUUAUUGGACUUCAGUUCCAAACGAAUAAAUUCAAUUUCAAAUGAUACAAUUCAGAUUCAGUUUUUGAAUAAAUUCAAUUUUAAUUAAACAAUACAAUUUCAAAUUAUGUGAUUCAAAUUCAGUUUUUCAAUGCAAUUAUUCAAGUUUAGCCAUUCAAAUUCAAAUAUAAAUGGUUCAAAUUCAGUUUCUGGUGGCACAUAUUUCAGCCCAUAAUAAUGUUCCUUAAUUUUUGCUGUUUUCCAGUAUGCUCUACAUCUUGUCUUGGGAGCACCCUUUGAUUUUACAUCUGUAAGUAAUUACCAGUUCAAGUAAUUGACCUUUAUGAUGUUGUAGCAGUUGAAAUAUCAAGAUUUCUCUAUUUUUGUCUUCCAGUGCGACUUUCCAAACAUACGGAGAUGGUGGGCUCUUAUUCUUCUGGAGAACUUUGGGGUUUUCUCUGAAAGUGCAGAAACCCUACAAGAGUCCCUUCCAUGUGAAGAACAAGCUACGCUUAGCAGCAGUGAGGCGUAGCUCCCAAUAAUCCGGCACAUGAAAGAAGCUGUGAAAUGGCUCCAUUCCAACAGCCAUCUGCUCAGGGGUCCAGUGGCAGAGCCUCUUUUCAUUCGAAUGAAAGAAGACCACAAGGAAAAGGCCCGCAACAAUCUCCUGGAACAGUCAGAAGCUUCCAGAGAGCCCUUUCUAUUUCAUUUUGUGUUCAGGGAUGACAUGGAGUUAUUUUUACAAGAAUAUAAGGACAAAAUGGGCCUGAGAGUGAAUUCCUCAUUUGAUACAUUUUAAGUUUAAUUUAUACAGGAUUGUCAUGAUAAAAUGGGCCUAGGGGUGAAUUGGUCAUUUGUUGUAUAU
Molecule: long non-coding RNA, 1168 nt
Organism: Xyrauchen texanus (razorback sucker)
Lineage: Eukaryota; Metazoa; Chordata; Actinopteri; Cypriniformes; Catostomidae
Exons: 3
Source: RefSeq, a predicted model, not a curated record